This 402-nucleotide ribosomal RNA is filed under the name uncultured Hyphomicrobiales bacterium. RNAcentral's name for it is "uncultured Rhizobiales bacterium partial 16S ribosomal RNA". It matches the Rfam family "Bacterial small subunit ribosomal RNA", at positions 355 to 774 of the family's 1533-position model. Lineage: Bacteria; Pseudomonadati; Pseudomonadota; Alphaproteobacteria; Hyphomicrobiales. The record is from RNAcentral.
UGGGGAAUAUUGGACAAUGGGCGCAAGCCUGAUCCAGCCAUGCCGCGUGAGUGAUGAAGGCCUUCGGGUUGUAAAGCUCUUUUGUCCGGGAAGAUAAUGACUGUACCGGAAGAAUAAGCCCCGGCAAACUUCGUGCCAGCAGCCGCGGUAAUACGAAGGGGGCUAGCGUUGUUCGGAUUUACUGGGCGUAAAGCGCACGUAGGCGGCUCGUUAAGUCAGAGGUGAAAGCCUGGAGCUCAACUCCAGAACUGCCUUUGAUACUGGCAAGCUCGAGUAUGGCAGAGGUUGGUGGAACUCCGAGUGUAGAGGUGAAAUUCGUAGAUAUUCGGAAGAACACCAGUGGCGAAGGCGGCCAACUGGGCCAUUACUGACGCUGAGGUGCGAAAGCGUGGGGAGCAAACA